This 945-nucleotide ribosomal RNA is filed under the name Stachybotrys chartarum. RNAcentral's name for it is "partial large subunit ribosomal RNA". It matches the Rfam family "Eukaryotic large subunit ribosomal RNA", at positions 92 to 1074 of the family's 3401-position model. Lineage: Eukaryota; Fungi; Ascomycota; Sordariomycetes; Hypocreales; Stachybotryaceae. The record is from RNAcentral.
AGUGAAGCGGCAACAGCUCAAAUUUGAAAUCUGGCCCCAGGCCCGAGUUGUAAUUUGCAGAGGAUGCUUUUGGCGCGGUGCCUUCCGAGUUCCCUGGAACGGGACGCCAUAGAGGGUGAGAGCCCCGUCUGGUUGGAUACCAAGCCUUUGUAAAGCUCCUUCGACGAGUCGAGUAGUUUGGGAAUGCUGCUCUAAAUGGGAGGUAUAUGUCUUCUAAAGCUAAAUACCGGCCAGAGACCGAUAGCGCACAAGUAGAGUGAUCGAAAGAUGAAAAGCACUUUGGAAAGAGAGUUAAACAGCACGUGAAAUUGUUAAAAGGGAAGCGUUUAUGACCAGACUUGGGCCGGUUAAUCAUCCAGCGUUCUCGCUGGUGCACUUUGCCGGUCCAGGCCAGCAUCAGUUCGCUGCGGGGGAUAAAGGCGUCGGGAAUGUGGCUCCUCUGGAGUGUUAUAGCCCUUCGCGCAAUACCCUGCGGUGGACUGAGGUUCGCGCAUCUGCAAGGAUGCUGGCGUAAUGGUCAUCAACGACCCGUCUUGAAACACGGACCAAGGAGUCGUCUUCGUAUGCGAGUGUUCGGGUGUAAAACCCCUACGCGUAAUGAAAGUGAACGCAGGUGAGAGCUUCGGCGCAUCAUCGACCGAUCCUGAUGUUCUCGGAUGGAUUUGAGUAAGAGCAUACGGGGCCGGACCCGAAAGAAGGUGAACUAUGCCUGUAUAGGGUGAAGCCAGAGGAAACUCUGGUGGAGGCUCGCAGCGGUUCUGACGUGCAAAUCGAUCGUCAAAUAUGGGCAUGGGGGCGAAAGACUAAUCGAACCUUCUAGUAGCUGGUUUCCGCCGAAGUUUCCCUCAGGAUAGCAGUGUUGAACUCAGUUUUAUGAGGUAAAGCGAAUGAUUAGGGACCAGGGGGCGCUAUUUAGCCUUCAUCCAUUCUCAAACUUUAAUAUGU